GCCCCAUUUCCCCAUCUCACCUCAGCCCUACUUUCUGUCUCUAUAGAUUUGCCUAUUCUGGAUAUUUCCUAUAAAUGGAACCUGUAACAUAUGGCCCUUUGUGUCUGGCGUCUUUCGCUUAGUAUAAUGUUUUCGUGGCUAAGUAAUAUUCCAUUGAAUGGGCAUACCACAUUUUGUUUCUCCAUUCAUUAGUUGGUGGACAUUGGGUUGUUUCCACCAAAGAAGGGCAUAGACAUAUGUGGCUCACACAGCCUAAAUACUCCAUCUUUUCACAGACUUGAACACCCUGCAUAGCAAGACUGGAAGUCAGAAGUCCAGGUCAGGGAUUCCAACAGUCCUCAAGUGACAUCUGAUGGCGGCUUCAACUAGAGGGAAGGAUGCCAUAUUGAGUGGUAAAAUCAACCGGACUUGGUUGGAUGCUUCGGUGAAGGAGAGAACUAUUGAGGAAAAUUCAUUUACCAUAAGAGAAGCUGAACUUCAGACAGAUAGAGCGGGCAGUCCACAGUGAAGUCAUGGCUGAUGGCAAAGCUAAGCUAAGAAUCCAGCUCUCCUCUUGAGUACAACCCAUGGACUCGUGAGAUUUCGGGAAAGCAGACUAAGCUGGUGGCCGUGACCUCGCUAUACGACGCUUUCGCCAUAUGGCUAAUCAGCCAAAAACGUGUAUCCUGCGCUGGCACGUUGUCUCAACAAGAGCUGACAGUGUCUCCUGGAGCCUCCUGGAGUGUGACUGUCUCAUGUGUCCCUCCAAACACCUUUGCAGGCUUCUCUUGAUCCAGCCCCUUCUUCCUUCCAACUAAAGAGCUCCGGGAGCUCUCCGGAUACUCAGAAGGAACAACCUCAGCAGCUGGUCCACUCCCUGCCACAAGCGACGGUCCAAAUCGUGGCUACUCUGACCUUGAUCUUCAACCUCACUCCUAGGCUAGCGAUGCAGAAGAAAGCACGGGACUUGGAGAAAGACAAGCCCACGUUCAAAUUCUGCUCUCUUUCACCAGCUGACAGACUCAGGAAAGUCACCCACCCCCCGCGAUCAGAUUGGCAGGACUGCAAAUUGGGAUAACAGGACCGUCCUCACUGGUGGUUGGGAGAGUUACGAGGAAGGACUGGCUCCCCAUCUGUCUUCAACCGCCGUCCCCC
Molecule: long non-coding RNA, 1134 nt
Filed under: Felis catus (domestic cat)
Lineage: Eukaryota; Metazoa; Chordata; Mammalia; Carnivora; Felidae
Description: lncRNA (ENSFCAG00000049973.1)
Source: RNAcentral